This 435-nucleotide ribosomal RNA is filed under the name uncultured Saccharofermentans sp. RNAcentral describes it as "partial 16S ribosomal RNA". It matches the Rfam family "Bacterial small subunit ribosomal RNA", at positions 341 to 792 of the family's 1533-position model. The record is from RNAcentral. Lineage: Bacteria; Bacillati; Bacillota; Clostridia; Eubacteriales; Oscillospiraceae.
ACGGAAGGCAGCAGUGGGGAAUAUUGGGCAAUGGGCGCAAGCCUGGCCCAGCAACGCCGCGUGAAGGAUGAAGGUCUUCGGAUUGUAAACUUCUUUGAUUGGGGAAGAAUAAAUGACCUACCCAAAGAACAAGCCAUGGCUAACUACGUGCCAGCAGCCGCGGUAAUACGUAGGUGGCAAGCGUUAUCCGGAUUUACUGGGUGUAAAGGGCGUGUAGGCGGCUUUGCAAGUCAGAUGUGAAAUUCCUGAGCUCAACUCGGGCGCUGCAUCUGAAACUGUAAAGCUUGAGUACUGGAGGGGAAAGCGGAAUUCCUAGUGUAGCGGUAAAAUGCAUAGAUAUUAGGAGGAACACCGGUGGCGAAGGCGGCUUUCUGGACAGUAACUGACGCUGAGGCGCGAAAGCGUGGGGAGCAAACAGGAUUAGAUACCCUGGUA